CGCCGGCGCUGCCGGUGCCGCGGCCGCCGCCCUUCCCUCGGCCCCGUUCUGACAGGAAGCCGCCGGGGAGGUGCGGAGGCGGUGUAAGGCCGGCCGGGCGCGGCCUGACGCCGGAGCGGGUGGUCCCGGAGAGGGCGGGCGGCGGGAGCAGCGGCUGUUCUACUGCAGCUAUGGCUAUGUGGAACGGGCCCGGAAGAGCAAAGGGUUGGGAAGUCCUGACCAAAGGCCAGCUCUGAGGAGGCUGGAAGAAGACCCCUGCCCCGCGUGCCCCGGCAGAACUGCCCUCAUCGGGCCCCUCCGGAGCCUGUUCAGAGCCUUUGCCCACGGCUCCGACCUUUGGAACAAGAAGUUGCACCCGUCAGCACCUGCUGAGGGCUUCGUUGAUCAAAAAAAUCAGGGCACCCUUUCAGAUAGGAACAUGGACCUUAUUGGCAUCAUCUUGUAUCCAUGGAAACAUUUUAAGUACCGCUCUCUCAAUAUGUACUUCAGUUAUUCAGGGUUCAAGAGCUGAGUACCAAAUAAUUAAGUGUUUUUAUUACUUUCUAUGUGGAAGCUUCGUUCUUGGGGCUCAUAUCUGUCAUAAUAAAG
Molecule: long non-coding RNA, 588 nt
Filed under: Zonotrichia albicollis (white-throated sparrow)
Lineage: Eukaryota; Metazoa; Chordata; Aves; Passeriformes; Passerellidae
Description: lncRNA (ENSZALG00000016676.1)
Source: RNAcentral